This 424-nucleotide ribosomal RNA is filed under the name uncultured bacterium. RNAcentral's name for it is "partial 16S ribosomal RNA". It matches the Rfam family "Bacterial small subunit ribosomal RNA", at positions 360 to 776 of the family's 1533-position model. The record is from RNAcentral.
AAUUUUGGACAAUGGGGGCAACCCUGAUCCAGCCAUCCCGCGUGUGCGAUGAAGGCCUNCGGGUUNUNAAGCACUUUUGGCAGGGNCGAAAAGGCUCUGGCUAAUACCUGGAGCUGCUGACGGUACCUGCAGAAUAAGCACCGGCUAACUACGUGCCAGCAGCCGCGGUAAUAAGUAGGGUGCAAGCGUUAAUUGGAAUUACUGGGCGUAAAGCGUGCGCAGGCGGUUCGGCAAGAAGGAUGUGAAAUCCCAGGGCUUAACCUUGGAACUGCAUUCUUAACUGCCGGGCUAGAGUAUGUCAGAGGGGGGUAGAAUUCCGCGUGUAGCAGUGAAAUGCGUAGAGAUGCGGAGGAAUACCGAUGGCGAAGGCAGCCCCCUGGGAUAAUACUGACGCUCAUGCACGAAAGCGUGGGGAGCAAACAGG